AGCAAAUAUACUUCAAACAAAGUCCCUCAAUUACUUUGAAAACUGCUGCUAUAAACGAUGCGGGAAAAGAUUCGUUCAAGUUCAACGUCAUCAGUUUUGUGAUCGGUUUUCUGAUUCCUUUGAUCUUUCUGGUAAUCUCAGCCUGGAUCAUAUACAAAUUGAAGAUGAAAAUAAAGAAUCUGGAGGAAAAUGCCGAAGAAAAAGAACACAAUUACGAGACUAUACAAGAAAAAGCAACUCCUUCCAAUAAUCCGUUAUAUUCGACUGUGCUGCAAGAAACUACCGGAAACGAACAAGCUUAUUCUGCCACAACUAUCCAAACACAAGGGGAAUCAGCUUACGAAACUUAUAACGCCUAAUAAACUUCAAUAUAUAUUCGCAUAUUAUAAAAUGAAAAAAAUGUUGGUCUUCAUAAAACACUCGGUGAAUUUCUAACAAACAAUGUCUUAGCUGUUAGUUAGAAUAUUUUUAUCAGGAUGGUGUUAUUAAAAUUCUUACAGCAAGACUCAAUAAUCAAUCUCUAUCCAAUUUCUCUAAAGCUGAUAUAAAUAUACUAAUAUCA
Molecule: non-coding RNA, 562 nt
Organism: Styela clava
Lineage: Eukaryota; Metazoa; Chordata; Ascidiacea; Stolidobranchia; Styelidae
Source: RefSeq, a predicted model, not a curated record